This 251-nucleotide ribosomal RNA is filed under the name uncultured prokaryote. RNAcentral's name for it is "partial 16S ribosomal RNA". It matches the Rfam family "Bacterial small subunit ribosomal RNA", at positions 525 to 775 of the family's 1533-position model. The record is from RNAcentral.
ACGGAGGCCCCUAGCGUUGUUCGGAAUCACUGGGCUUAAAGAGCGUGUAGGCGGAGCGGCAAGUGCUUUGUGAAAUCCCCGGCCUCAAUCCGGGAAUUGCAGGGGAAACCGCCGCUCUUGAGGCAGGUAGAGGUGACCGGAACGUGUGGUGGAGCGGUGAAAUGCGUAGAUAUCACACGGAACGCCGGUGGUGAAAACGGGUCACUGGGCCUGUCCUGACGCUGAGACGCGAGAGCGUGGGGAGCAAACAG